UAAAAAAUAAUAUAUAUCUUUCCCUAUUAAAAUAAAAUUAAAAUUGACUCCAUAACAGAUGUUAACUUAAGAAUUUGACUUUGUCAAUUUUAUAUUUUAUAUAGAUAUUCAAACAACUUAAAGUGUCUAUGAAUUGGUUUUCCUCAACUUUAUCUCUUAUUAUGAUCAUUUUUAUAUUUCUUUUAAACAUUUGACUGAAGCAUAAAAAUAAAGGAAAUGUAUAUUGUUUUUUUCACUGUUGUAUUUCUCUCACAGUGCGCAGCUCAUACAUAUAUCUUUUGCAGAACCCAUCAAACCAUCACUUCGCUCGAACAUUUCAUCUGAUUUCAUAUUGCAUACUUUUGUGUUUGGAGAAGACAAACUCUAUAAACGUCUAUAUAUUUGACAUGGAUGGUCAAAGGAAAAAAGAAUAUCAAAGGCAACGAUAUGCUAAAAUGUCUGUUGAAGAAAAA
This is a long non-coding RNA of Dendrobium catenatum, 452 nucleotides long. RefSeq lists it as uncharacterized. The transcript is spliced from 3 exons. NCBI's taxonomy places the organism in Eukaryota, Viridiplantae, Streptophyta, Magnoliopsida, Asparagales, Orchidaceae. The record is from RefSeq and is a predicted model, not a curated record.